Long non-coding RNA from Vigna angularis (adzuki bean), 2682 nucleotides. RefSeq lists it as uncharacterized. The record is from RefSeq and is a predicted model, not a curated record. Lineage: Eukaryota; Viridiplantae; Streptophyta; Magnoliopsida; Fabales; Fabaceae. The transcript is spliced from 3 exons.
AAGAUAAAGUGUUUGUCUAUUUAUAAAAGCUACAAUAUCGCAUCACUUUAUGAUUUCUUUAGACCAUUCUUAUCUUAAUAGAACACUAGAUAAAUUAACUCACUCGAUUUGGAUGAAUAAAGGUUCAUGUGUCAUAUGAUUAAAUAACGAAUUUGUACUAUACAGAUCCGCCCACAAGAGACUGAAGAGAGACGAUCGAUCAAAGACGUGAGGACAAUAGAUCGGUCAUCUGGACGAAAGUGGCAGUCGGCCUGGUAGGCACAUUGAAGAACAUUAAUGGAUAAUUAAUGUCAACAACCCAUUGGAGUGGAUCGUGUUAUUGGAGAGGAUUGAAGAUCAAAAGAGAGCAGAGCAAGGAAGGACGACCGACCAUCAGACCAAUUCAACCGAAACAUUUGGCGCCCACCGUGGGGUCGAGCGGCAUCCCCAUGAAGCCACGAAGAACCAAACGCGCGCUCGGUCUCGACAUCGCUACUUCGGAUCAACACCAGGUUAUGCAACAAGAGUAAAAAAUUCCGUAAUAAUUUCUAAAGGCAUGUCUUUUGUUUUGAGAACUUUCAAGAAGGUUCAGUCCUACGUACUUUCAACCUUGGCAGGUUCCGCUUUUCAUUAUAAUUUAUAAAUUAUAAUAUAUUUGUUUAACUCAUACUUUUGUGAGUAAAAAUAUCAUGCACAGGAAGGUUCAGUCCUACGUUCAACCUUGACAAAUUCCACUUUUCAUUAUAAUUUAUAAAUUAUAAUAUAUUUGUUUAACUCAUAUUUUUGCGAGUAAAAAUAUCUCGCACAGGAAGGUUCACUCCUACGUUCAACCUUAUCAGGUUCUAAUGUUAUCUCAUUAUAAAAUAAAAUGUUGAAUAUUUUAUUUAAGGCUUAUUUUUGUGAGUAAAAAUAUCUUGCACAAGAAGGUUCACACCAACGUUCAAUCUUAUCAGGUUCCAAUGCCAUCUCGUUAUAAGAAUAAAAUAUUGAAUAUUUUGCUUUAACACAUGCUUUUUGUGAGUAAAAAUAUUUUGCACAGGAAGAUUCAAUCCUCUACAACAUGUUCACCGUUCGGGCUGAAGUCCGAAAAAGGGCUUCAGAAAUCCCUGUUCAACGCAGGAAGUUAGAAAAAUAACUCCUGCCUCAAGCCGCUCGGGGGAAGUCCAAAAAAGGGCUUCAGAAAUCCCCGCUCAACGCAGGAAGUUAAAAAAAUAACUUCUGCCUCAAGCCACUCGGGGGGAAGUCUGAAAAAGGGCUUCAGAAAUCCCUGCUCAACGCAGGAAGUUAGAAAAAUAACUCCUGCCUCAAGCCGCUCGGGGGAAGUCCGAAAAGGGGCUUCAGAAAUCCCCGCUUAACGUAGGAAGUUAGAAAAAUAACUUCUGCCUCAAGCCGCUCGGGGGGAAGUCUGAAAAAGGGCUUCAGAAAUCCCCGCUCAACGCAGGAAGUUAGAAAAAUAACUCCUGCCUCAAGCCGCUCGGGGGAAGUCCGAAAAAGGGCUUCAGAAAUUCCCGCUCAACGCAGAAAGUUAGAAAAAUAACUCCUGCCUCAAGCCGCUCAGGGGGAAGUCCGAAAAAGGGCUUCAGAAAUCCCCACUCAACGUAGGAAGUUAGAAAAAUAACUCAUGCCUCAAGCCGCUUGGGGGAGUCCGAAAAAGGACUUCAGAAAUCCCCGCUCAACGCAGGAAGUUCGAAAAAGAACUAUCAGUCGACUACUCAACAGGUUCAACUUUGUCAGGUUCCAAUCUCUUUUCAUUAUAAAAUAUUGAAGUGUUUACUUUAUUUUAUUUAAACGCAUAUUUUUUGGAGUGAAAAUCUCUUGCACAGGAAAAAGUUUCAAAGAAAACUCUUAGCAUUUUUUAUUCAUUCUAGGGAACAGUUCCAAAGAGAACUCCUAGAGUUCGCCGCUCGGAACAGGGAGCAAUGAAGACUUAAAACACAUCGAAGAUAGACUCUCUAAAUACAACAUGAACUACCUCUUUUAAAGCUCAUAAUAAUCCCUACGCACCUCUUUCAACAAAGAGCUCGCUUGGGCUUGGGGGGCUUAUGUACUAUACAGGAUCCGCCGACAAGAGACUGAAGAGAGACGAUCGAUCAAAGACAUGAGGACAGUAGAUCGGCCAUCUGGGUAAUUAAUGUGAGUAAUUAUCGUAUCAUAUGCAUAUAUAUUACAUUUAUGAAUGAUUGGCAGGGUAUAUUUAUACUGCAUUAAUGGACAUUCAAUGGGCUGGACAAUUGCAAAGCCUAUAAAUGCAAGGUGAAUGAUCAGAUAUUAUGACCGACCUACAUAACAAGACACAAAUGGUUGGUGGUGUUGGCUGCUGCAUGUUGUGUUGUGUUGCCUACUUCAACUUGCGAUCUGCUCCAGCUGUGGUUGACUGCAACAUCUCUCUGCCCCAAAUCAAUGGCCUUCCAACUCAUCAAAAUCUUACUUACCAUUUCUCAUUUUUGCUAUUUCACAACACUAUGAGUCUUUAUUUCCUUCUUUUUCCACACAAAAAUUGCUAGAAAACAUUCACCCUUUUAAGCAAUUUCUGUACCAAUCCGACCAUUUCCUAACAGAUAAUAGAUUUUUUGUUCUUUCUUUCGAUGUUUUUGCCAUACGAAAGCAUUGCACAAUUUACGAUGAGCCAUCACUUCUACUCGGACCCAUCAGAAAGAAUAACUCAAUGAUACAAAGUUGACUGGUUGAGUGGAAUUUACAACU